AUGGCAGGAUUUAAAUGUCCGAACCAGCACGUCGUAGGCCCAGACGGUGCCGAACCUUUUGUUCAGUUGGCUGUACGAAACUGGCAGUUUUUACAUGCCCCUCUAGCAUGCCAUGGCUCAGAACAUUUGACAAAUUACCACCAUCAGCCAAGUCAAAAGAUUGCCCGAAGUAGCCACUGGCGAUGCCUGCUAGUUGAGAAAGGUGCAACUGCUUUUGUUCUGACUACGACUGGAAAGUCAGACAGUAGGUUGCCAUUUCUGGGCUACUACCCCAGAAAGGUGCGGCCUAGCAUUCCUUGUUUGCCAUGGCGAAAUUCAGCAAAUGCUAAAAUCAGAACCUUAUCCAUCUAA
This 351-nucleotide ribosomal RNA is filed under the name Triticum aestivum (bread wheat). Its description in RNAcentral is "partial small subunit ribosomal RNA". Lineage: Eukaryota; Viridiplantae; Streptophyta; Magnoliopsida; Poales; Poaceae. The record is from RNAcentral.